UCUAGCCGGUUAUGAUAGCCC
This 21-nucleotide non-coding RNA is filed under the name Arabidopsis thaliana (thale cress). The record is from RNAcentral. Lineage: Eukaryota; Viridiplantae; Streptophyta; Magnoliopsida; Brassicales; Brassicaceae.